This 88-nucleotide ribosomal RNA is filed under the name Pseudoalteromonas sp. P1-26. The record is from RNAcentral. Lineage: Bacteria; Pseudomonadati; Pseudomonadota; Gammaproteobacteria; Alteromonadales; Pseudoalteromonadaceae.
CUGACCCCAUGCCGAACUCAGUAGUGAAACGAAACAGCGCCGAUGAUAGUGUAGCAGCUGCUAUGUGAAAGUAGGUCAUCGCCAGGAU